GACGAACGCUGGCGGCGUGCUUAACACAUGCAAGUCGAACGGAAAGGCCCUGCUUUUGUGGGGUGCUCGAGUGGCGAUCGGGUGAGUAACAGGUGAGUAACCUGCCCUUGACUUUGGGAUAACUUAAGGAAACUGGGGCUAAUACCGGAUAGGAGCUCCUGUUGCAUGGUGGGGGUUGGAAAGUUUCGGCGGUUGGGGAUGGAUUCGCGGCUUAUCAGCUUGUUGGUGGGGUAGUGGCUUACCCAGGCUUUGACGGGUAGCCGGCCUGAGAGGGUGACCGGCCACAUUGGGACUGAGAUACGGCCCAGACGCCAACGGGAGGCAGCAGUGGGGAAUAUUGCACAAUGGGCGGAAGCCUGAUGCAGCAACGCCGCGUUCGGGAUGACGUCCUUCUGGUUGUAAACCGCUUUCGCCUAAGACGAAGCUGGAGUGACGGUAAUGGAUAAAGAAGCACCGGCUAACUACGUG
Molecule: ribosomal RNA, 468 nt
Filed under: uncultured bacterium
Lineage: Bacteria
Description: partial 16S ribosomal RNA
Rfam family: Bacterial small subunit ribosomal RNA
Source: RNAcentral